UACAGAGGGUGCGAGCGUUAAUCGGAAUUACUGGGCGUAAAGCGUGCGUAGACGGCUAUCUAAGUCGGGUGUGAAAGCCCCGGGCUCAACCUGGGAAUUGCAUUCGAGACUGAAUAGCUAGGGUACGGUAGAGGGAAGUGGAAUUUCCGGUGUAGCGGUGAAAUGCGUAGAUAUCGGGAGGAACACCAGUGGCGAAGGCGGCUUUCUGGUCUGCUCUUGACGCUGAGGCGCGAAAGCUAGGGUAGCAAACGGG
This 253-nucleotide ribosomal RNA is filed under the name uncultured bacterium. Its description in RNAcentral is "partial 16S ribosomal RNA". It matches the Rfam family "Bacterial small subunit ribosomal RNA", at positions 524 to 776 of the family's 1533-position model. The record is from RNAcentral.